GUGCUUUUUUUGACUACACUUAUACUCAAAUCAGAAAGAUACAGAGACCAUUUACAUGGCCCCUGAGCAAGGAUGACAUGAAAAUUUGUGAAGAAUUCCAUAUUUUU
Small nuclear RNA from Dromiciops gliroides (monito del monte), 107 nucleotides. The record is from RefSeq and is a predicted model, not a curated record. NCBI's taxonomy places the organism in Eukaryota, Metazoa, Chordata, Mammalia, Microbiotheria, Microbiotheriidae.